GGGGAUAACUACUGGAAACGGUGGCUAAUACCGCAUAACGUCGCAAGACCAAAGAGGGGGACCUUCGGGCCUCUUGCCAUCAGAUGUGCCCAGAUGGGAUUAGCUUGUUGGUGAGGUAACGGCUCACCAAGGCGACGAUCCCUAGCUGGUCUGAGAGGAUGACCAGCCACACUGGAACUGAGACACGGUCCAGACUCCUACGGGAGGCAGCAGUGGGGAAUAUUGCACAAUGGGCGCAAGCCUGAUGCAGCCAUGCCGCGUGUAUGAAGAAGGCCUUCGGGUUGUAAAGUACUU
Molecule: ribosomal RNA, 294 nt
Filed under: Salmonella enterica subsp. salamae
Lineage: Bacteria; Pseudomonadati; Pseudomonadota; Gammaproteobacteria; Enterobacterales; Enterobacteriaceae
Also listed under: 1 other name
Description: partial 16S ribosomal RNA
Rfam family: Bacterial small subunit ribosomal RNA
Source: RNAcentral